RNAcentral lists this ribosomal RNA (635 nucleotides) under beta proteobacterium AK-23. RNAcentral describes it as "bacterial SSU rRNA". It matches the Rfam family "Bacterial small subunit ribosomal RNA", at positions 54 to 685 of the family's 1533-position model. The record is from RNAcentral. Lineage: Bacteria; Pseudomonadati; Pseudomonadota; Betaproteobacteria.
CNAUGCAGUCGACGGCAGCACGGACUUCGGUCUGGUGGCGAGUGGCGAACGGGUGAGUAAUGUAUCGGAACGUGCCUAGUAGCGGGGGAUAACUACGCGAAAGCGUAGCUAAUACCGCAUACGCCCUACGGGGGAAAGCAGGGGAUCGCAAGACCUUGCACUAUUAGAGCGGCCGAUAUCGGAUUAGCUAGUUGGUGGGGUAACGGCUCACCAAGGCGACGAUCCGUAGCUGGUUUGAGAGGACGACCAGCCACACUGGGACUGAGACACGGCCCAGACUCCUACGGGAGGCAGCAGUGGGGAAUUUUGGACAAUGGGGGAAACCCUGAUCCAGCCAUCCCGCGUGUGCGAUGAAGGCCUUCGGGUUGUAAAGCACUUUUGGCAGGAAAGAAACGUCAUGGGCUAAUACCCCGUGAAACUGACGGUACCUGCAGAAUAAGCACCGGCUAACUACGUGCCAGCAGCCGCGGUAAUACGUAGGGUGCAAGCGUUAAUCGGAAUUACUGGGCGUAAAGCGUGCGCAGGCGGUUCGGAAAGAAAGAUGUGAAAUCCCAGAGCUUAACUUUGGAACUGCAUUUUUAACUACCGAGCUAGAGUGUGUCAGAGGGAGGUGGAAUUCCGCGUGUAGCGGUAAA